UGGGUAACCUGCCUCAAAGAGGGGAAUAGCCUCCCGAAAGGGAGAUUAAUACCGCAUAAUAUGUUUAGGUCGCAUGACUUUAACAUCAAAGGAUUUCUUUUAGAAAUUCCACUUUGAGAUGGACCCGCGGCGCAUUAGCUAGUUGGUGAGGUAACGGCUCACCAAGGCAACGAUGCGUAGCCGGCCUGAGAGGGCGACCGGCCACACUGGGACUGAGACACGGCCCAGACUCCUACGGGAGCAG
RNAcentral lists this ribosomal RNA (244 nucleotides) under uncultured bacterium. Its description in RNAcentral is "partial 16S ribosomal RNA". It matches the Rfam family "Bacterial small subunit ribosomal RNA", at positions 118 to 347 of the family's 1533-position model. The record is from RNAcentral.